GACGAACGCUGGCGGCGUGCUUAACACAUGCAAGUCGAACGAUGAAGCCUAGCUUGCUAGGUGGAUUAGUGGCGAACGGGUGAGUAAUACGUGAGUAACCUACCUUUAACUCUGGGAUAAGCCCGGGAAACUGGGUCUAAUACCGGAUACGACCAAUCUCCGCAUGGGGUGUUGGUGGAAAGCGUUAUGUAGUGGUUAUAGAUGGGCUCACGGCCUAUCAGCUUGUUGGUGAGGUAACGGCUCACCAAGGCGACGACGGGUAGCCGGCCUGGGAGGGUGACCGGCCACACUGGGACUGAGACACGGCCCAGACUCCUACGGGAGGCAGCAGUGGGGAAUAUUGCACAAUGGGCGCAAGCCUGAUGCAGCGACGCCGCGUGAGGGAUGACGGCCUUCGGGUUGUAAACCUCUGUUAGCAGGGAAGAAGAGAGAUUGACGGUACCUGCAGAGAAAGCGCCGGCUAACUACGUG
This 471-nucleotide ribosomal RNA is filed under the name uncultured bacterium. Its description in RNAcentral is "partial 16S ribosomal RNA". It matches the Rfam family "Bacterial small subunit ribosomal RNA", at positions 28 to 507 of the family's 1533-position model. The record is from RNAcentral.